This 71-nucleotide transfer RNA is filed under the name Odontamblyopus lacepedii. RNAcentral's name for it is "tRNA-Ser". It matches the Rfam family "tRNA". Rfam says of the family: Transfer RNA (tRNA) molecules are approximately 80 nucleotides in length. Their secondary structure includes four short double-helical elements and three loops (D, anti-codon, and T loops). Further hydrogen bonds mediate the characteristic L-shaped molecular structure. tRNAs have two regions of fundamental functional importance: the anti-codon, which is responsible for specific mRNA codon recognition, and the 3' end, to which the tRNAs corresponding amino acid is attached (by aminoacyl-tRNA synthetases). tRNAs cope with the degeneracy of the genetic code in two manners: having more than one tRNA (with a specific anti-codon) for a particular amino acid; and 'wobble' base-pairing, i.e. permitting non-standard base-pairing at the 3rd anti-codon position. The record is from RNAcentral. RNAcentral also lists the same sequence under 2 other names. Lineage: Eukaryota; Metazoa; Chordata; Actinopteri; Gobiiformes; Gobiidae.
AAGAAAGUGACAGAAGGGUGAUGUGGCUGGCUUGAAACCGGUUUAUGGGGGUUCAAAUCCUCCCUUUCUCG